This 147-nucleotide unclassified non-coding RNA is filed under the name uncultured Xylariales. RNAcentral's name for it is "sequence contains ITS1". Lineage: Eukaryota; Fungi; Ascomycota; Sordariomycetes; Xylariales. The record is from RNAcentral.
UAGAGUUGUAAAACUCCCAAACCCAUGUGAACAUACCUCUGUUGCCUCGGCGGCCUGCCCGGCGGCUACCCUGUAGCAGCCCCGCGGUCCGCCGAAGGACUACAAAACUCUGUAUCUUUGCGUCGGAGUACUUGAUAAACUGAAUCA